Pezoporus flaviventris is the source of this 687-nucleotide long non-coding RNA. RefSeq lists it as uncharacterized. The transcript has 4 exons. Lineage: Eukaryota; Metazoa; Chordata; Aves; Psittaciformes; Psittacidae. The record is from RefSeq and is a predicted model, not a curated record.
GAAACCGACAGGACCUGGGUGUCAGGACCACAGAACAUAUUCCUAUGCAAUGUUUAUUGGUAAGGACUGGGCACCCCGAGUACUGUGUGCUGGAGUAUGCUGUGUAAUGGCAGCCCACAUGCAUGUAAAGAAGAUAUUUACCUAUAGGGAAGUCUGAAGAACAAGUACAGUUCCUGACACAUACAUCUUUGAAGGUACAAUAUUGAACCUAAACUUACAGCCAGUAAGUGGUUAACAAGUAUUCAAGCCUGGUCUGUCAGCCAGACAGCUAAAAUAAAGCACUGUGCUGCAGGAAAAGCCUAAUGAAGUCGCCGAAGUGAAUCGAUGGAAGAAUGUCAAAAAAGAUGAAUGUUAAACAGACCAUCUGAAGUUUUUAAAUAAAAGAGAUGUGCUGUAUGGUGGUGCAAGAUAUUCCAGUAAGUCUGCUGAAAGACGUCUAGUAUCUACACAAUUAUCCAUGUAAUACCGUGCAGGGGGAACGGAUUAGUGGCUACAAAGCUGUGUGUGAAAUGGGAAGCUGGAGUCUGCAGGACAGAGGAAGAACUCUUGAUGCCUGGGUAAGGAGAGAUCCUGGAAGACUUUUCCAAGCUUUGCUCACCACAAGGGACUGGAGAGUGCUGCGUUUAAUAAGACCCAAGAGAGAACAAAGGAGGAGGAAAAAGUUUCUUAUGCACAUACACGUACACA